Molecule: unclassified non-coding RNA, 307 nt
Filed under: Entoloma infula
Lineage: Eukaryota; Fungi; Basidiomycota; Agaricomycetes; Agaricales; Entolomataceae
Description: partial internal transcribed spacer region
Rfam family: Eukaryotic small subunit ribosomal RNA (bases 1-46)
Source: RNAcentral
AAGUCGUAACAAGGUUUCCGUAGGUGAACCUGCGGAAGGAUCAUUAUUGAAUAAACUUGGUUAGGUUGUUGCUGGCUCUUAGGAGCAUGUGCACGCCUACUCCAUUUUUAACCACCUGUGCACCUUGCGUAGAUCUAGAAUAUUUCGAGGAAACUCGGUUUGAGAAUUGCUGUGCAUCAGCCAGCUCUUCUUGUAUUCAGGUCUACGUUUCUACAUAUACCCCACAUGAAUGUAUUCGCAUGUUGUAAUUGGCCUUUUGUGCCUGUAAAAACAAAUACAACUUUCAACAACGGAUCUCUUGGUUCUG